This 718-nucleotide long non-coding RNA is filed under the name Homo sapiens (human). RNAcentral's name for it is "non-protein coding lnc-PLEKHG4B-1:4". Lineage: Eukaryota; Metazoa; Chordata; Mammalia; Primates; Hominidae. The record is from RNAcentral.
AUGACUUGGAUUGAACAAGAUAAGCUGGGUCAAGCAUUUGAAGACGCUUUUGAGGUACUGAGGCAACAUCCAACUUUAGAUCCUCAGAACUCCCCUGAUGACAAAAAUUACCUGUCUUUCAUUAACUGUUGUCUUCAUAUCAGAGGAAAUUCCAGCUGCUAUGAGUGUUGCCUACGGAGGAACCUGUCUACAAUUGGAGAACUGUAAUAGCAGGACUGUGGACUUCUAUUUUGAAGGAAAUAUUCAUCAACCUCUGCAGAGCAUAACUGAAAACCAGCUGGUACAACCUGCUCUUCUCCAGCAAGAGGAAGAAAAGGCAGGAAGAGGCUCUGGCUAUUGAAUACCUUCACAAAUCCCUGUGUACUGAGAUGGCAUCUUGUAUUCACUGGGAAGAUAAAACCAAAGACACCUUUCAGUUUGUAACAAAAAACCAGGAAACUUCUGAACUUUGGGGGAAGAGAAAAAGCAACCAGAGUACCAUGACUUUCCAGAAAUGGCCAGGGCACUGAGGAGCUGUGGAAGAACUGGGGAAAUCACCGAAACCCAGUACCAUUUCAGUGAGGCCAUUCUCCAAAAACUCUCUCCAUCUUAUUUCUUGGGGAAAGAGUUCUUCUACUUACAAUAUGAUCAACCUGAUUAAGAAUAUAUUGGUUUCUAUAACUGUGAUGCAGAUUAUAACUAUACAAAUGCCAAUUACCAGAAGCUAAGCCACCCUGAU